GAAAGAAAGAAAAAAGCUUUACCUCUUUGUUAAUAAAUAUAAUAAAUCCUUCUCAUCCUAAAUCAAGUCAACCUUUGUCUUUAAUCAGGUGUUAAAAGGAAAUCACCUAAAAUCAAAAAACAGGAGGGCCUUUUUGUUGAGAAUUUGCUAUUUCACAUUUGUGAUUUUAGUUCAUCGCAAUCACCAUUUUAUAAAAAUAGAGUCAGAUGAAUUUACUAUCACAAAACUAAUAAGUAUACUAUCUAGUAUUCUCAAAUCUAACUCCAAAAACCCAAGUUCUUUCUGCUAUGUCUCUAUGCAAACUUUUACAUAAACUGAGAAUGCUGCCAAUCAUUUUACUUCCAAAGACAGAUGUCAAGCUAGCCACCAAAAGCCUGAUGUGGGAAUAUCAUUGUAAUCUCUUAACUAGAAAAAACACCCCGCUCUGAAGAGGCCAUCAUUUUUUUAUUCGGAUAAUAAUUCAAACUUCAUGAUUUUCUGAAAAUACAUUCUCAAGAUGAAUUUUUGAGAAAAGUCUCAAAAAUGUUCAUUGUUAUUUUUGCCUGCUCCAAUUGACAGAACUGUUCUAUAUGGGGAAAAAAGAGAAUGAAACUAUUUAGUUUUUAUUUAGACCUACACGAUACUACUCCCUACUUAAAACCUACCUAGUGGCAGCUUCACAGACGAAAGCAAAGGCCAGGCAAAGAGAUUACAAUUACGGAGCAGGACAAAUCCUGAGUUUAAGGAAAAGAAAAAUGCAUCAGAUGAAGCC
Molecule: long non-coding RNA, 751 nt
Filed under: Homo sapiens (human)
Lineage: Eukaryota; Metazoa; Chordata; Mammalia; Primates; Hominidae
Description: non-protein coding lnc-DHTKD1-2:1
Source: RNAcentral